RNAcentral lists this ribosomal RNA (467 nucleotides) under uncultured bacterium. RNAcentral describes it as "partial 16S ribosomal RNA". It matches the Rfam family "Bacterial small subunit ribosomal RNA", at positions 29 to 507 of the family's 1533-position model. The record is from RNAcentral.
ACGAACGCUGGCGGCGUGCUUAACACAUGCAAGUCGAACGGAAAGGCCCUGCUUUUGUGGGGUGCUCGAGUGGCGAACGGGUGAGUAACACGUGAGUAACCUGCCCUUGACUUUGGGGUAACUUCAGGAAACUGGGGCUAAUACCGGAUAGGAGCUCCUGCUGCAUGGUGGGGGUUGGAAAGUUUCGGCGGUUGGGGAUGGACUCGCGGCUUAUCAGCUUGUUGGUGGGGUAGUGGCUUACCAAGGCUUUGACGGGUAGCCGGCCUGAGAGGGUGACCGGCCACAUUGGGACUGAGAUACGGCCCAGACUCCUGCGGGAGGCAGCAGUGGGGAAUAUUGCACAAUGGGCGGAAGCCUGAUGCAGCAACGCCGCGUGCGGGAUGACGGCCUUCGGGUUGUAAACCGCUUUCGCCUGUGACGAAGCGUGAGUGACGGUAAUGGGUAAAGAAGCACCGGCUAACUACGUG